Molecule: ribosomal RNA, 486 nt
Filed under: uncultured bacterium
Lineage: Bacteria
Description: partial 16S ribosomal RNA
Rfam family: Bacterial small subunit ribosomal RNA
Source: RNAcentral
AUUGAACGCUGGCGGCAUGCCUUACACAUGCAAGUCGAGCGGCAGCACGGGUGCUUGCCCCUGGUGGCGAGUGGCGAACGGGUGAGUAAUACAUCGGAACAUGUCCUGUAGUGGGGGAUAGCCCGGCGAAAGCCGGAUUAAUACCGCAUACGAUCUACGGAUGAAAGCGGGGGACCUUCGGGCCUCGCGCUAUAGGGUUGGCCGAUGGCUGAUUAGCUAGUUGGUGGGGUAAAGGCCUACCAAGGCGACGAUCAGUAGCUGGUCUGAGAGGACGACCAGCCACACUGGGACUGAGACACGGCCCAGACUCCUACGGGAGGCAGCAGUGGGGAAUUUUGGACAAAGGGCGAAAGCCUGAUCCAGCAAUGCCGCGUGUGUGAAGAAGGCCUUCGGGUUGUAAAGCACUUUUGUCCGGAAAGAAAUCCUUGGCCCUAAUACGGUCGGGGGAUGACGGUACCGGAAGAAUAAGCACCGGCUAACUACGUG